RNAcentral lists this ribosomal RNA (193 nucleotides) under uncultured bacterium. RNAcentral describes it as "partial 16S ribosomal RNA". It matches the Rfam family "Bacterial small subunit ribosomal RNA", at positions 337 to 524 of the family's 1533-position model. The record is from RNAcentral.
UCGUGAUCGAGGCAGCAGUAGGGAAUGUUGCACAAGGGAGGAAAGUCUGAUGGAGCAACGCCGCGUGAGUGAUGAAGGUUUUGGGAUCGUAAAACUCUUCGGUAGGGAAGAACAAGUACCAUCGAAUAAGCCGGCACCUUGACGGUAGGAACCAGAAAGCCACGGCUAACUACGUGCCAGCAGCCGCGGUAAU